AAACGGGUUAGUAACACGUAGGCAAUCUGCCCUAAAGUUAGGCAUAGCCCGGAGAAAUCCGGGGUAAUUCCUAAUGGUCUGAAAACUUCUACAAGUGGUUUUCAGUAAAGCUUUUGCGCUUUAGGAGGGGCCUGCGUCCUAUCAGCUUGUUGGUAAGGUAACGGCUUACCAAGGCUAUGACGGGUAGGGGGCGUGAGAGCGUGACCCCCAACAUUGGGACUGAGACACGGCCCAAACUCC
Molecule: ribosomal RNA, 240 nt
Filed under: uncultured bacterium
Lineage: Bacteria
Description: partial 16S ribosomal RNA
Rfam family: Bacterial small subunit ribosomal RNA
Source: RNAcentral